RNAcentral lists this ribosomal RNA (497 nucleotides) under uncultured bacterium. Its description in RNAcentral is "partial 16S ribosomal RNA". It matches the Rfam family "Bacterial small subunit ribosomal RNA", at positions 28 to 507 of the family's 1533-position model. The record is from RNAcentral.
GAUGAACGCUGGCGGCGUGCCUAAUACAUGCAAGUCGAGCGAAUGGACGAGAAGCUUGCUUUUCUGAUGUUAGCGGCGGACGGGUGAGUAACACGUGGAUAACCUACCUAUAAGACUGGGAUAACUUCGGGAAACCGGAGCUAAUACCGGAUAAUAUUUUGAACCGCAUGGUUCAAAAGUGAAAGACGGUCUUGCUGUCACUUAUAGAUGGAUCCGCGCUGCAUUAGCUAGUUGGUAAGGUAACGGCUUACCAAGGCAACGAUGCAUAGCCGACCUGAGAGGGUGAUCGGCCACACUGGAACUGAGACACGGUCCAGACUCCUACGGGAGGCAGCAGUAGGGAAUCUUCCGCAAUGGGCGAAGGCCUGACGGAGCAACGCCGCGUGAGUGAUGAAGGUCUUCGGAUCGUAAAACUCUGUUAUUAGGGAAGAACAUAUGUGUAAGUAACUGUGCACAUCUUGACGGUACCUAAUCAGAAAGCCACGGCUAACUACGUG